This 404-nucleotide ribosomal RNA is filed under the name Synalpheus corallinus. Its description in RNAcentral is "partial 16S ribosomal RNA". Lineage: Eukaryota; Metazoa; Arthropoda; Malacostraca; Decapoda; Alpheidae. The record is from RNAcentral.
UAAUUUGACCGUGCAAAGGUAGCAUAAUCAAUAGUCUUUUAAUUGGGGGCUUGAAUGAAGGGUUUGACGGAGGAGAGACUGUCUUUUUUAUUAAAAUUGAAUUUAACUUUUGUGUGAAAAGGCAUUAAUGGUUUAGGGGGACGAUAAGACCCUAUAAAAUUUUACAUAUUGUAUUAUUUAAUAUAAUGGUUAAUUAAUUAUUAGGUGAUUGGCUGUGUUUUGCUGGGGCGGCAGAGAUAUAAUUCUAACUGUUUUAAGUGUGAAAUAUUUAUUAAUAGAGAGUGGUCCUUUAUUUAAGAGUUAAGAGUAAGUUACUUUAGGGAUAACAGCAUAAUUUCUUUUGAGAGUUCUUAUCGAAGAUGAUAGUUGUGACCUCGAUGUUGAAUUAAAUUUUCUUUUAAAUG